Long non-coding RNA from Drosophila yakuba, 1208 nucleotides. RefSeq lists it as uncharacterized. NCBI's taxonomy places the organism in Eukaryota, Metazoa, Arthropoda, Insecta, Diptera, Drosophilidae. The record is from RefSeq and is a predicted model, not a curated record. The transcript has 2 exons.
GGUGUACAGCGGUUGUGUUGCCAUGACCUGGACAUUAAAAAACGACAUAUCGCCGACUGCUUCGUAUUUUAAGAUUAUAGAGUAUUUGGUAUUUUUGGAAUAAUUGUUAAGAUAACGACGGAAGCGUAGUGUUAAAAGUGAAAUUGUGGAAAACGUAACACGUAACGUAUAAGACGUUAUAUUCAAUUACGCCACAAAAAUCUUGCUAUGUACAUACUUUGUUUCCUUUUUCGCACACAGUAGAGAAGGCUUUUAAAAUACCAUAAAGGAUAUAAUUGUAUUUGUAUUUGUAAAUAUAUUAUCUUUUAAUUUGUUAUACAUACGUUUUUUAAGUAUAUAAUUAAUACAUUGGCUUGCCGAUUGCCAGUGCUUUAAAUGGCCUAGAUCAUGCACAGUGAUCCAAUUUAAGAGCGACUGGAAAAUAUUUCGGUAAGCAACCGAACUAAUGUGAAGUCGGAGCUACGCCCAAGAACACAUCGGUCACCACAUGGGAAUUCUCCGGGGCGACUGAGAUUCUGGUUCAGUUGCAGCCAACAAAUGACGUCGCAUAUCGCUAGUUCUAGUGUUCUAGAACUAACUAAAAUUAUUUGUUAGUAUACAUUAUUAAUAUACCUUAAUAGAAUAUUGUGAGUUGAUCCGGAGUCAGAAAAGUGAGUGAGAAUUGUCCUCGUCGUACCGCCACACCUGAAUUUGUAGCGAAUUUUCGAAGUGGACCGUAUAUACAAGCACCGCGCUGUUUGUAGCUUUCUAACUUACACAUUCCACUGUGACCAAUCUCCAGCAGCAGUCGGCGAUCAAAGGCUGACGAAAUGAUAACGGCGUAGACAAACGCGGAGGAGAGCUGGAAAGUGGUGGACAACCCCAUUCCCUUUGGAGUUUCUACAGCGACAAAACCAUUGUCAGCGAAGAAACUUCUAUCGGGAGAAGCGAAGGAGUGGUACUGGGUUCACGUUCGCUCAUCCAGAGGGGAUACCUGGGCACAGCUGCGCAGGGCUCGGUUGAAUCGGUACCGGGGUCAUCAGACGAAGUACGAGAGCAUGCACGAGCUACUCAAACAGCUCGAACACCAGUCCGAGCAAAACGGUGUUGACUACCUUCAUUCCAUGCAGCAACCAGCUGCAACCAGCAACCAACGAGAAAAAUAUCCAGUGAGCUAAUCGAGAACGGAAGUGAUUCUCUUACACAAGAAUCACGAAUACAAUUACAAA